Eublepharis macularius is the source of this 1505-nucleotide long non-coding RNA. RefSeq lists it as uncharacterized. The transcript has 3 exons. The record is from RefSeq and is a predicted model, not a curated record. Lineage: Eukaryota; Metazoa; Chordata; Lepidosauria; Squamata; Eublepharidae.
UUUGUCCCUAUUAUUAAAGGUAAAGUUCAUACUUAUUUUCUAUAUAUCUUAAUAAUUAUCCAGAGACCACAAUUGUCCUUUCAUGUCCCACUUAUUUUCAAGAUAUUCCUUAAAUUUCCCCCAGUCAUUCAAUAAUUCACUUGGAUUUUGUUCUUUCAGUUUUCUUGUCAUUUUGUCCAUCUCCACCAUGUACAACAGUUUAUGAAUCCAAUCUUCAACUUCUGGUAUCUCUUCCUGCUUCCAAUACUGUUCACAUAGUAAUCUUGCUGCCACUAUCAUGUAAAAUAACAGUGUCCUGUCCUUCAUAUUAACUUUUUGCAUAUUCAGUCCUAACAACAGCAGUUCAGGGCUCUUCAACAAAUUACAUUUCAUAAUUAAUAACAUUUCCGCAUAUAUCUUAGACCAAAAAAGCUUGGCCUUGUCACACAUCCACCACAUAUGAUAGAAAGAACCUUCAUGUUUUUUACAUUUCCAGCAUUUGUUUGACAUAGCACUACAUUUGCUAAUUUUUUCGAUGUUAAAUACCACCUAUACAUCAUCUUAUAUCCAUUCUCUUUCAAAUUAUUACAUGUAGAUAUCUUAAAUGUGUGUUUCCAUAGAAAUUCCCAUGUCUCCAUUGUUAUUUCUUUAUUAAAAUUUAUUGCCCACUUCACCAUUUGCAUUUUAACCGUCUCGUCUUCUGUAUACCAUUUCAGUAAAAGUUUAUACAUCGGGCAGCCCAAUCCUAAUAAGGGCACGGAAAGUGAACAGGAACCGAACUAAGGCUUGCGAGGGCGCAUCUAGCCCGUACGCCCGCGUAAGUGGCCUUCCGCCCGCGCUGGGACGUGGCGCUGGCCCGCCGGCGGGCCAGCACCGGUGCAAGCCACAGGCGCCCGGGCGGCGGCGCAGAAGUGGCAUAGAGCCCUACGCCGACGCAGGGGGGGGCGGGGAGCAAGGCGGGGUCAGAGUUAGUCCGCUCCCUAAGCUCCUCCAGAAGCGGGAACGCCCACAGCGGCGCAAAAAAGCUACGCCACGGAAAAAGAAGGCGUAGCCCAUAGGCGUCCAUGGAACGGCGAAAAAUCAGCCCCCUCUCUGAGCGCCUCGCCCCGCCCCUAUGGCCCGAAGGAGCAUAGGAUGAGAACUAUCCCGGGGACCAAUCAGCAUGCGCGCCCGGCGUGGACGAGCCCCCCUCUCUGCACCCAAUCACCUGCGACCGCGCCCUACAAAACAUCCGGCCAGCGCCACCCAAACCCCCAGGUGCCCUGACUCUGGCGCUCCCACCUGGUGAUGACCGACGGAGCGCUGACAGGCACAUCCAGGGCAUGGCUGCUCCCCCGCGCCCCGCCCUCCCCAAACAUCUCUGACGGACGGUUGGCUGCAGCCCAGGAAGCACCGUCGCGCCGCGGCCUGCAUCCCAGCCCCGCCCCUCCGAGCGGGAAGGAGGGCUGUGUGGAAUGCUCCAGCUCCCUCGCCAGCCUAAACGCAAGCCCGCUCUUUCCAGUGCAAUAAAACGAGAUGUACAACAA